Molecule: ribosomal RNA, 443 nt
Filed under: uncultured bacterium
Lineage: Bacteria
Description: partial 16S ribosomal RNA
Rfam family: Bacterial small subunit ribosomal RNA
Source: RNAcentral
CCUACGGGAGGCAGCAGUGGGGAAUAUUGGGCAAUGGGCGCAAGCCUGACCCAGCAACGCCGCGUGAAGGAAGAAGGCUUUCGGGUUGUAAACUUCUUUUCUCAGGGACGAAGAAAGUGACGGUACCUGAGGAAUAAGCCACGGCUAACUACGUGCCAGCAGCCGCGGUAAUACGUAGGUGGCAAGCGUUAUCCGGAUUUAUUGGGUGUAAAGGGCGUGUAGGCGGGAGCGCAAGUCAGAUGUGAAAACUCAGGGCUCAACCCUGAGCCUGCAUUUGAAACUGUGUUUCUUGAGUGCUGGGGAGGCAAUCGGAAUUCCGUGUGGAGCGGUGAAAUGCGUAGAUAGACGGAGGAACACCAGUGGCGAAGGCGGAUUGCUGGACAGUAACUGACGCUGAGGCGCGAAAGCGUGGGGAGCAAACAGGAUUAGAUACCCGUGUAGUC